Molecule: non-coding RNA, 1842 nt
Organism: Taeniopygia guttata (zebra finch)
Lineage: Eukaryota; Metazoa; Chordata; Aves; Passeriformes; Estrildidae
Source: RefSeq, a predicted model, not a curated record
GAGCUGUUGGAAAAAAAAAUAAAGGGCUUUUUGAUUUCACAUUGCAACAAUUCCCUAUCUAACAUAAAGUCCCACAAAACAGAACUUUACUAUCUUAUAGCUAACCCUCUGCUUUAAAGACAACAAAAAUGGCACGUCCCCAUUUCUGUUGAAGGAAUAUUUUUAAACAAGAGAUAUUUUUUCAGCCUAGAUGCAUGAUAGAUCAAGAGGAAAAACAGGUUUCAUUUACUUUUAAAACAACCUCCAUUUCAAUAAAGAAAAACAAACCUUUUGUACUGUAACAAACAACAUCCUUACAGUACAAGUGCAGCUCUCAGAUCUGAAAUAUUAUGGCCAGAUGCAAAUAGUCACAUUUGAAUUAUGCUGAAAUAGAAGGUUUUCAUUUUGUUCUUUGUUUCUUUAAAAUUUCUUUUAAAACUCCUUAUGUCCUUUUCCAAGUGCUCUCAGCAGAGUCCUGGACUGUCUAGUUCAUAAUUGGUUCAUUAAGGUCAAGGCCUGUACAAGCUACUGUGAAAAUUCAAAAGCAAUCUUCGAGUUGUAUCCACAAUUCAAGAGCAUGACGGAUGAUGUCAGCCCAAAUUCCUCAAGAAUAAACUGUGGUUUGCUGCCAUGUGUUAACAAGUAGAAACACUUGGUUUCUAGGAUUUACCCAGUCAAACUACAAGAAGCUGAAACAUCUGGCUUGUCAAAAUGGUCACAAGGUUAUAGAGGCAACGACAAAGAUGUCAGAAAAUUCAAUCCAGGAAAUGAGCACAGUUCAACCACAACAUAAAUUUAGUCUCUAAACACAUUGUCUUACCUUUCUGAUGCACUGAUUUCUAUAUUUUUUAGAUUUUAAUUCCCCAUGAAUGAAACUCUAUGUAUUUUCAGGAAAUGCUAAACAUCAUUAUGGUUUUUAGUAAGUAAUUCUUACCAACUCUCCUGCUAUUUCUUACAUUUGUGAUGAGAAUUAUUAGAAGUGACUUGCCCAUUAUGACCCAAAUGGAAAUAAAAAAAUGCAAUGAGCCAUAGCUAUGUGACCUCAAGCCAAACACUUCAAACUCAUGUACCUAAAUAUAGACACCUAAAUAAAUGGCCUGGUUUUCAGGAGCACUGUGUGACUCAGAGUUGUAGGUGCUCUUAAAAAUCAAGAUGCUUAUUUAGGUAUCUGAAUACAGACUGAGCUUAUGAAUAUAUUAUUUAAUUUGCUUAAGAAUGUAAACAACUAAGAAAAUAAAAAAGCUACUAGAAAUUCUAUUUUUAUAUGUGCUAAUUAGACGGCCACAGACUGUAAUUCACAGACUGCAAGACACAAUUUACUCCUCUAAAGCAAAUAUUGUGGUAAUUAAUUUUUAUUAAUUGUUGAGAAGCAGAAUUUAGGAGCCCUGGUUCUGAAGCAGUGCUAGAUAGGUUUGAUGGAGAAGUCCACUGUAUGAGAUUUCUUUGCCUUUUAUUAAUCUUUAUCCUUAAUUAUGGAGAUUGACACAGGAAGGCUUUCCAAAAUGUCAUUUUAAGAAGCUUUGUUUAUAUGGAGAGAUCAUUAAAAAAAAUUGGAUGUUUCAGUCUCCUUAAGUGUGAUCCAUAAUCUUCAGGCUUCUUGUGUUUUUCUUUCUUCUCUGAAAUUUUCAUUCAUUAUUCUGGCACUUUUAAGUGACUACUGAUGGCAUAAUUGGAGUAUCAUGGAAGCAGAAGGCUGUGUUAUUAGUCAGCAUGACACCACAUACGCAUCCAGUUAAUGGAAAAUAAGCAGUUCAAGCAGCGAGUGCCUGGAGCUGUCAUCCACAACAGGGCAGAGAUGGGACCCCAUAGUCAGGCCCACUUUUCUUCACCUCUACCAUGAACAGGUAUUUCUUUCCUGCAAAA